CAAAAGUGAUGGGACACAGUACUGGUUCUCAUACCAUGAGAUUUGCAUGUCAGUGUACAUUUUAUAUCUAAUACACAUAAAAUACAAUAUUUUAACCAACUUCAUACAGAAUAAAACAGCCUCUGCUACAUUUCCAUUCUCUAAUCAUCAGUACUGCUUCUACUGAACUGACUGCAUGUUUCUCUGUCUUUCUCACAGUGAUCUCUAAGCAGAGGAGGAAGACUCUGCCUGAUGACAUCUAUGAGGAGAUCGACCCCAGAUACGUCACCACCAGAAAUUAUUCAACUCAGCGGAGACGCAUCUUUUCGGAAGGAUAUGAGGAUGUGGAUGAGGAUCUUCACUCAGGAAGUAUCAUCUCUGAAGAUCAACAUUCAGGAUAUGAGGAUGUAGAUGAGGAGAUUCUCUCAGGUAAUUCUCUCAUUCUUUCUGUGUGUGUGUGUGUGUGUGUGUGUGUGUGUGUUCAGGGGGUUCUAAAACAACUAUGUCACACAGCAGAUCAUUAAACUAAUGGACAUUCUUCUUUUUUAUAUAUAUUUUUAGAAAAGUCUUUAACUGGAGUAAAAGCAGAAUAUUAUGAUGAUGUCAUCACCAGUGAUCAAAUAAGUGGGUUCCUUUAUAAAUGAAUCUCCUGAUUUUAUUUGUACAUUUUGCUACAGUGUCAAAUAUGAAGCUCUGUAUAUAAAGACGGUCUGCUUUUAUUUGAUUCAGGUGAAGCAGAAAAAGAGGAGCUAGCAGAAAACUAUGAUGAUGUCAUCACUGCUGAGCAGAUCACUGAUAGUUUAGCAGGUUUGAUUAUUUAAAACAAUAAACAAAAAUGUUUCACAGGAAGCA
This 831-nucleotide long non-coding RNA is filed under the name Astyanax mexicanus (Mexican tetra). RNAcentral's name for it is "lncRNA (ENSAMXG00005004060.1)". Lineage: Eukaryota; Metazoa; Chordata; Actinopteri; Characiformes; Acestrorhamphidae. The record is from RNAcentral.